This 1481-nucleotide ribosomal RNA is filed under the name uncultured rumen bacterium. Its description in RNAcentral is "partial 16S ribosomal RNA". It matches the Rfam family "Bacterial small subunit ribosomal RNA". The record is from RNAcentral.
AGAGUUUGAUCCUGGCUCAGGAUGAACGCUGGCGGCGUGCCUAAUACAUGCAAGUCGAACGAGGUAGCAAUACCGAGUGGCGAACGGGUGAGCAACACGUAGGUAACCUGCCUUACAGUUUGGGAUACCCUGGGGAAACCUAGGCUAAUACCGAAUAAUUGGAUUGGAGGCAUCUCCGAUCUCUAAAAGGGGCCCUUAAAGCCUCGCUGAAUGAUGGACCUGCGGCGCAUUAGCUAGUUGGUGAGAUAACAGCCCACCAAGGCGAGGAUGCGUAGCCGACCUGAGAGGGUGAACGGCCACACUGGAACUGAGACACGGUCCAGACUCCUACGGGAGGCAGCAGUAGGGAGUUUUCGGCAAUGGGGGAAACCCUGACCGAGCAACGCCGCGUGAAUGAUGAAGGUCUUCGGAUUGUAAAGUUCUGUUGUAAGGGAAAAACGAUAUGGUGAGGAAAUGCUCCAUAUUUGAUGGUACCUUAUUAGAAAGCCACGGCUAACUACGUGCCAGCAGCCGCGGUAAUACGUAGGUGGCAAGCGUUAUCCGGAAUUAUUGGGCGUAAAGAGUGAGCAGGCGGCAUGGUAAGUUUGAAGUGAAAGCGUGGGGCUUAACCCCAUACAGCUUCGAAAACUGCCAAGCUAGAGUACGGGAGAGGUAAACCGAACUCCAUGUGUAGCGGUGAAAUGCGUAGAUAUAUGGAAGAACACCAGUGGCGAAGGCGGUUUACUAGCCCGAUACUGACGCUCAGUCACGAAAGCGUGGGGAGCAAAUAGGAUUAGAUACCCUAGUAGUCCACGCCGUAAACGAUGUCUACUAAAUAUUGCAGUGAUGCAGUGUUGAAGCUAACGCAUUAAGUAGACCGCCUGGGGAGUACGGUCGCAAGACUGAAACUUAAAGGAAUUGACGGGGACCCGCACAAGCAGUGGAGCAUGUGGUUUAAUUCGAAGCAACGCGAAGAACCUUACCAGGGCUUGACAUCCUCGGACAGUCCCAGAGAUGGGAUCUUCCUUCGGGACCGAGAGACAGGUGGUGCAUGGUUGUCGUCAGCUCGUGUCGUGAGAUGUUUGGUUAAGUCCAAUAACGAGCGCAACCCCUGUGGUCAGUUGCCAUCAUUUAGUUGGGAACUCUGACAAGACUGCCACGGACAACGUGGAGGAAGGAGGGGACGACGUCAAAUCAUCAUGCCCCUUAUGUCCUGGGCUACACACGUAAUACAAUGGCAACGACAGAGGGUCGCUACUCCGCGAGGAGAUGCUAAUCCCCAAACGUUGUCCCAGUUCGGACUGCAGGCUGCAACCCGCCUGCACGAAGUCGGAAUUGCUAGUAAUGGCAGGUCAGCAUACUGCCGUGAAUACGUUCCCGGGCCUUGUACACACCGCCCGUCACACCAUGAGAGUCUGCAAUACCCGAAGUCAGUAGCCUAACCUUUUGGAGGGCGCUGCCGAAGGUAGGGCCGAUAAUUGGGGUGAAGUCGUAACAAGGUA